RNAcentral lists this microRNA precursor (104 nucleotides) under Marmota monax (woodchuck). Lineage: Eukaryota; Metazoa; Chordata; Mammalia; Rodentia; Sciuridae. The record is from RNAcentral.
AGUGGGAUAACUGGGUCAAAUGGUGGUUCCAUUCCAAGUUUUUCUAAGGAAUAUCCAUGGUGCUUUCCAUAGUGGUUGUAUCAAUUUGCAAUCCCACCAGUGGU